Molecule: small nucleolar RNA, 98 nt
Filed under: Neotoma lepida (desert woodrat)
Lineage: Eukaryota; Metazoa; Chordata; Mammalia; Rodentia; Cricetidae
Description: Small nucleolar RNA U13
Rfam family: Small nucleolar RNA U13
Source: Rfam by way of RNAcentral
AUCUUUCGGUUCAUAAGCAUGAUUGGGUGUUCACAGCAUUGUAUGAUGUGUGCAUCCCCUAAACCACCUUCAGACUUGGGCACAUUUCCCAUCUAAAA